GCAAACUUGGUCAUUUAGAGGAAGUAAAAGUCGUAACAAGGUUUCCGUAGGUGAACCUGCGGAAGGAUCAUUAUUGAAUACCACUUGAUGGGUUGUAGCUGGCCUCUUGGGGCAUGUGCACACCUGUUAUUGUUCUAUUCAUCCACCUGUGCACCACUUGUAGUCUUUGGGGGCUGAUAGCGGUUGACCAUCAGUCGAGAGACUGGAUGAGAGGAUUGCAUGCGCAUAAAAUUGUGCAGCUUUCUUCAGUAGGCCGUGAAUCUCCCUUGGAGUCUAUGUUUUUUAUCUAUAAACUGCAUAGUAUGUUGUAGAAUGUGUUCAAGGGCCUUGUGCCCAUAAAACUCUAUACAACUUUCAGCAACGGAUCUCUUGGCUCUCGCAUCGAUGAAGAACGCAGC
This 398-nucleotide unclassified non-coding RNA is filed under the name uncultured fungus. RNAcentral's name for it is "partial contains small subunit ribosomal RNA, internal transcribed spacer 1, and 5.8S ribosomal RNA". The stretch from base 1 to 73 matches the Rfam family "Eukaryotic small subunit ribosomal RNA", at positions 1759 to 1831 of the family's 1831-position model. The record is from RNAcentral. Lineage: Eukaryota; Fungi.